AGUGAACGCUGGCGGCGUGCUUAACACAUGCAAGUCGAACGGUAACGCGGGGCAACCUGGCGACGAGUGGCGAACGGGUGAGUAAUGCAUCGGAACGUGCCCAGUAGUGGGGGAUAGCCCGGCGAAAGCCGGAUUAAUACCGCAUACGACCUAUGGGUGAAAGCGGGGGAUCGCAAGACCUCACGCUAUUGGAGCGGCCGAUGUCAGAUUAGGUUGUUGGUGGGGUAAAGGCCUACCAAGCCGACGAUCUGUAGCUGGUCUGAGAGGACGACCAGCCACACUGGGACUGAGACACGGCCCAGACUCCUACGGGAGGCAGCAGUGGGGAAUUUUGGACAAUGGGGGCAACCCUGAUCCAGCCAUGCCGCGUGCGGGAAGAAGGCCUUCGGGUUGUAAACCGCUUUUGUCAGGGAAGAAACGCUCUGGGCUAAUACCCCGGGGUAAUGACGGUACCUGAAGAAUAAGCACCGGCUAACUACGUGCCAGCCGCCGCAGUAA
Molecule: ribosomal RNA, 498 nt
Filed under: uncultured bacterium
Lineage: Bacteria
Description: partial 16S ribosomal RNA
Rfam family: Bacterial small subunit ribosomal RNA
Source: RNAcentral